RNAcentral lists this ribosomal RNA (447 nucleotides) under uncultured bacterium. Its description in RNAcentral is "bacterial SSU rRNA". It matches the Rfam family "Bacterial small subunit ribosomal RNA", at positions 328 to 792 of the family's 1533-position model. The record is from RNAcentral.
AUCCCAGACUCCUACGGGAGGCAACAGUGGGGAAUAUUGCACAAUGGGGGAAACCCUGAUGCAGCGACGCCGCGUGAGCGAUGAAGUGUUUCGGUAUGUAAAGCUCUAUCAGCAGGGAAGAAAAUGACGGUACCUGACUAAGAAGCCCCGGCUAACUACGUGCCAGCAGCCGCGGUAAUACGUAGGGGGCAAGCGUUAUCCGGAUUUACUGGGUGUAAAGGGAGCGUAGACGGCAAUGCAAGCCAGAUGUGAAAGCCCGGGGCUCAACCCCGGGACUGCAUUUGGAACUGUGUAGCUGGAGUGUCGGAGAGGCAGGCGGAAUUCCUAGUGUAGCGGUGAAAUGCGUAGAUAUUAGGAGGAACACCAGUGGCGAAGGCGGCCUGCUGGACGAUGACUGACGUUGAGGCUCGAAAGCGUGGGGAGCAAACAGGAUUAGAUACCCCUGUA